RNAcentral lists this unclassified non-coding RNA (336 nucleotides) under soil metagenome. RNAcentral's name for it is "partial contains 5.8S ribosomal RNA, internal transcribed spacer 2, and large subunit ribosomal RNA". The stretch from base 1 to 120 matches the Rfam family "5.8S ribosomal RNA", at positions 35 to 154 of the family's 154-position model. The record is from RNAcentral.
GAUGAAGAACGUAGCGAAAUGCGAUAAGUAAUGCGAAUUGCAGAAUUCAGUGAAUCAUCGAAUCUUUGAACGCACAUUGCGCCCGCCAGUAUUCUGGCGGGCAUGCCUGUUCGAGCGUCAUUUCAACCAUCAAGCCCCCGGCUUGUGUUGGGGACCUGCGGCUGCCGCAGGCCCUGAAAACCAGUGGCGGGCUCGCUAGUCACUCCGAGCGUAGUAAUACAUCUCGCUCAGGGCGUGCUGCGGGUUCCGGCCGUUAAAAAAGCCUUAUUUACCCAAGGUUGACCUCGGAUCAGGUAGGAAGACCCGCUGAACUUAAGCAUAUCAAUAAGCGGAGGA